CUACUUUAACAACUGCCUUGAUAACUGCAUUUCUUGAUAACCACAAUGCGUUAUGUUUGUUGAUAUCUUGGGCGACUUGAAGGUUUGGGCGAGAAUAGAAUAACAGCUCUGGGCGACCGUAUGACGCUCCAUUCGUUCAGAUUCUGGGUGACUUGUAAACUUGGGCGAUGGCGUUACCGCACCCUUGGGCCCCUUAUUUGGGCCUUCACCUUGAUUCGUUCGAUUGGACUUCGUUCUUUGGGCUAUCUGAUUUGGGG
This 257-nucleotide long non-coding RNA is filed under the name Olea europaea (common olive). RNAcentral describes it as "long non-coding RNA (OEUR_LNC001052)". Lineage: Eukaryota; Viridiplantae; Streptophyta; Magnoliopsida; Lamiales; Oleaceae. The record is from RNAcentral.